UCUCCGUUGGUGAACCAGCGGAGGGAUCAUUACAGAGUUGCAAAACUCCCAAACCAUUGUGAACGUUACCUAUCCCGUUGCUUCGGCGGGCGGCCCGGGCCCCGCGCCCGGCGCCCCCCGGCCCCCCGUGGGCGCCCGCCGGAGGUAAACCAAACCUUUGAAUUGCAUGGCCUCUCUGAGUCUUCUGUACUGAAUAAGUCAAAACUUUCAACAACGGAUCUCUUGGUUCUG
This 231-nucleotide unclassified non-coding RNA is filed under the name plant metagenome. RNAcentral's name for it is "partial contains small subunit ribosomal RNA, internal transcribed spacer 1, and 5.8S ribosomal RNA". The record is from RNAcentral.